RNAcentral lists this ribosomal RNA (513 nucleotides) under Triticum aestivum (bread wheat). RNAcentral describes it as "partial small subunit ribosomal RNA". Lineage: Eukaryota; Viridiplantae; Streptophyta; Magnoliopsida; Poales; Poaceae. The record is from RNAcentral.
AUGACGCCCUCAGGCGCCGCCGUCGUCGUGGCCGGCAUAGCCAGCCAUGGAUUUCUCCAGGCCCCCAUCUUCCCCACCCCUACCACAGAAGCGGCGCCGGCGACCUGGGCCAGCCGGAAACCAGAUCUGACAGGGGCCGAAAGGAUUGGGAGCGGAGGCGUCAGAUCUGGGACGGGCGCCCCCGCGGCCACUGCACCCCACAGCCACCACCCGCCGCCGCCUUGCCACCCGCGUGGCCAAGGCGGACGGCCAGCACCAGCGACGCCACGAGCUGAAAACGACGACGCACCACCACCCGAGGCCGCCGCCCCGGCUCCAGAGCCCCUGCGUGAAACAGGCGGACAGAUUCUCGCCACCACCCUCCCCGGCGGACACGCGGCUUUCCGGCGACCCCCUCCGGUGGUGGCGAGGGAGAGGAAAAGGGGGGAGGAGGGCCGGCGGCGGCUAGGGUUAGCGCCGCCCGAGUCGCCCCUGCGGGAGCGACACGGGGGCCAAGCUUCGUGGAACAAUUAA